This 72-nucleotide transfer RNA is filed under the name Chrysochromulina sp. NIES-1333. RNAcentral describes it as "tRNA-His". It matches the Rfam family "tRNA". Rfam says of the family: Transfer RNA (tRNA) molecules are approximately 80 nucleotides in length. Their secondary structure includes four short double-helical elements and three loops (D, anti-codon, and T loops). Lineage: Eukaryota; Haptophyta; Prymnesiales; Chrysochromulinaceae. The record is from RNAcentral.
GUAGAAAUAAUUCAACGGUUAGAAUUUUGAUUUGUGGUGUCAAGCGUGAAGGUUCGAAUCCUUCUUUUUACC